RNAcentral lists this ribosomal RNA (460 nucleotides) under uncultured bacterium. Its description in RNAcentral is "partial 16S ribosomal RNA". It matches the Rfam family "Bacterial small subunit ribosomal RNA", at positions 338 to 795 of the family's 1533-position model. The record is from RNAcentral.
CCUACGGGGGGCAGCAGUGAGGAAUAUUGGUCAAUGGACGAGAGUCUGAACCAGCCAAGCCGCGUGAAGGAUGACUGUCCUAUGGGUUGUAAACUUCUUUUAUAUGGGAAUAAAAUGUUCCACGUGUGGGAGUUUGUAUGUACCAUAUGAAUAAGGAUCGGCUAACUCCGUGCCAGCAGCCGCGGUAAUACGGAGGAUCCGAGCGUUAUCCGGAUUUAUUGGGUUUAAAGGGAGCGUAGGUGGAUUGUUAAGUCAGUUGUGAAAGUUUGCGGCUCAACCGUAAAAUUGCAGUUGAAACUGGCAGUCUUGAGUACAGUAGAGGUGGGCGGAAUGCGUGGUGUAGCGGUGAAAUGCUUAGAUAUCACGAAGAACUCCGAUUGCGAAGGCAGCUCACUGGACUGCAACUGACACUGAGGCUCGAAAGUGUGGGUAUCAAACAGGAUUAGAUACCCCGGUAGUC